Cavia porcellus (domestic guinea pig) is the source of this 282-nucleotide non-coding RNA. It matches the Rfam family "RNase MRP". From Rfam's summary of the family: RNase MRP is an enzymatically active ribonucleoprotein with two distinct roles in eukaryotes. Lineage: Eukaryota; Metazoa; Chordata; Mammalia; Rodentia; Caviidae. The record is from Rfam.
AACAACAUAAGAUUGAUAGAGACCUAGGCUACACAUGGGGAACUUGUUCCUCAUCUGGUUGCUUAGGGGAAAGUCCCCGGACCUUGGGCAGAAAGUGCCACGUGCUCAAGCACUUAGACCCUCCCUGCCCUUCACACUUAGCCUCUUAAAAAGCAAACUCGCUCUCUGGGAUGGGAAAACUGAGCGGCGUGUUGUGGGACGUCAUCCUUCAGCUGUCAUAGUGACGCAGGCAGUGCGCACGUGGGUGCGCAUGAACCAAACCAGGCUCAUUCUCAGCGUGGC